This 253-nucleotide ribosomal RNA is filed under the name uncultured bacterium. RNAcentral describes it as "partial 16S ribosomal RNA". It matches the Rfam family "Bacterial small subunit ribosomal RNA", at positions 524 to 776 of the family's 1533-position model. The record is from RNAcentral.
GACGGAAGGUGCAAGCGUUGCUCGGAAUCACUGGGCGUAAAGGGUGCGUAGGCGGCCUGGUAAGUCUGGCGUGAAAGCCCAGGGCUCAGCCCUGGAAGUGCGCUAGAAACUGCGAGGCUCGAGUGCCGGAGGGGAGAGUGGAAUUCCUGGUGUAGCGGUGAAAUGCGUAGAUAUCUGGAGGAACACCGGUGGCGAAGGCGGCAUCCUGGACCGGCAUUGACGCUGAGGCGCGAAAGCCAGGGGAGCAAACGGG